RNAcentral lists this unclassified non-coding RNA (335 nucleotides) under soil metagenome. RNAcentral describes it as "partial contains 5.8S ribosomal RNA, internal transcribed spacer 2, and large subunit ribosomal RNA". The stretch from base 1 to 121 matches the Rfam family "5.8S ribosomal RNA", at positions 35 to 154 of the family's 154-position model. The record is from RNAcentral.
GAUGAAGAACGUAGCGAAAUGCGAUAAGUAAUGCGAAUUGCAGAAUUUCCGUGAGUCAUCGAAUCUUUGAACGCACAUUGCGCCUGCCAGCACUCUGGCAGGCAUGCCUGUUCGAGCGUCAUUUCAACCAUCAAGCCCUAGGCUUGCGUUGGAGCCCUGCGGCUGCCGCAGGCCCCUAAAAGCAGUGGCGGGCUCGCUAUCACACCGAGUGCAGUAGAUUACUCUUCGCUCAGGGCGUGUGGCGGGUUCCAGCCGUGAAACACCCUACUUCUCAAGGUUGACCUCGGAUCAGGUAGGAAUACCCGCUGAACUUAAGCAUAUCAAUAAGCGGAGGA